GCGGGGGUAGCUCAGUCCGGUUAGAGCGUCGGCACAGUGCGGAGCGAACCCACAGGGUAGCGAAGCAAGCCGAAGGACGAUGGUUCAAAUCCAUCCCCCCGUU
This 103-nucleotide transfer RNA is filed under the name Planctomycetia bacterium. RNAcentral describes it as "tRNA-OTHER". It matches the Rfam family "tRNA". From Rfam's summary of the family: Transfer RNA (tRNA) molecules are approximately 80 nucleotides in length. The record is from RNAcentral. Lineage: Bacteria; Pseudomonadati; Planctomycetota; Planctomycetia.